AACUGAAAAAGGCAAACUUGUUGAAAAACAAGGACGCAAAGUUAUGGGCCUAAGGUGUACGCACUAUGGCUGCCAGACCGCCGGA
Non-coding RNA from Paenibacillus sp. FSL A5-0031, 85 nucleotides. The record is from Rfam. Lineage: Bacteria; Bacillati; Bacillota; Bacilli; Caryophanales; Paenibacillaceae.